RNAcentral lists this ribosomal RNA (1370 nucleotides) under Limosilactobacillus fermentum. RNAcentral describes it as "bacterial SSU rRNA". It matches the Rfam family "Bacterial small subunit ribosomal RNA", at positions 67 to 1420 of the family's 1533-position model. The record is from RNAcentral. Lineage: Bacteria; Bacillati; Bacillota; Bacilli; Lactobacillales; Lactobacillaceae.
CUUGCACCUGAUUGAUUUUGGUCGCCAACGAGUGGCGGACGGGUGAGUAACACGUAGGUAACCUGCCCAGAAGCGGGGGACAACAUUUGGAAACAGAUGCUAAUACCGCAUAACAGCGUUGUUCGCAUGAACAACGCUUAAAAGAUGGCUUCUCGCUAUCACUUCUGGAUGGACCUGCGGUGCAUUAGCUUGUUGGUGGGGUAACGGCCUACCAAGGCGAUGAUGCAUAGCCGAGUUGAGAGACUGAUCGGCCACAAUGGGACUGAGACACGGCCCAUACUCCUACGGGAGGCAGCAGUAGGGAAUCUUCCACAAUGGGCGCAAGCCUGAUGGAGCAACACCGCGUGAGUGAAGAAGGGUUUCGGCUCGUAAAGCUCUGUUGUUAAAGAAGAACACGUAUGAGAGUAACUGUUCAUACGUUGACGGUAUUUAACCAGAAAGUCACGGCUAACUACGUGCCAGCAGCCGCGGUAAUACGUAGGUGGCAAGCGUUAUCCGGAUUUAUUGGGCGUAAAGAGAGUGCAGGCGGUUUUCUAAGUCUGAUGUGAAAGCCUUCGGCUUAACCGGAGAAGUGCAUCGGAAACUGGAUAACUUGAGUGCAGAAGAGGGUAGUGGAACUCCAUGUGUAGCGGUGGAAUGCGUAGAUAUAUGGAAGAACACCAGUGGCGAAGGCGGCUACCUGGUCUGCAACUGACGCUGAGACUCGAAAGCAUGGGUAGCGAACAGGAUUAGAUACCCUGGUAGUCCAUGCCGUAAACGAUGAGUGCUAGGUGUUGGAGGGUUUCCGCCCUUCAGUGCCGGAGCUAACGCAUUAAGCACUCCGCCUGGGGAGUACGACCGCAAGGUUGAAACUCAAAGGAAUUGACGGGGGCCCGCACAAGCGGUGGAGCAUGUGGUUUAAUUCGAAGCUACGCGAAGAACCUUACCAGGUCUUGACAUCUUGCGCCAACCCUAGAGAUAGGGCGUUUCCUUCGGGAACGCAAUGACAGGUGGUGCAUGGUCGUCGUCAGCUCGUGUCGUGAGAUGUUGGGUUAAGUCCCGCAACGAGCGCAACCCUUGUUACUAGUUGCCAGCAUUAAGUUGGGCACUCUAGUGAGACUGCCGGUGACAAACCGGAGGAAGGUGGGGACGACGUCAGAUCAUCAUGCCCCUUAUGACCUGGGCUACACACGUGCUACAAUGGACGGUACAACGAGUCGCGAACUCGCGAGGGCAAGCAAAUCUCUUAAAACCGUUCUCAGUUCGGACUGCAGGCUGCAACUCGCCUGCACGAAGUCGGAAUCGCUAGUAAUCGCGGAUCAGCAUGCCGCGGUGAAUACGUUCCCGGGCCUUGUACACACCGCCCGUCACACCAUGAGAGUUUGUAACAC